UACAGAGGCUACGAGCGUUAGGCGGAAUCACUGGGCUUAAAGCGCGUGUAGGCGGUUUGGCAAGUACCUUGUGAAAUCCCACGGCUUAACCGUGGAACUGCUUGGUAUACUGCCCGACUUGAGGUGCUCAGGGGCAACCGGAACGGAUGGUGGAGCGGUGAAAUGCGUAGAUAUCAUCCGGAACGCCUGUGGUGAAGACGGGUUGCUGGGGGCAUUCUGACGCUGAGACGCGAAAGCCAGGGGAGCAAAC
Molecule: ribosomal RNA, 250 nt
Filed under: uncultured bacterium
Lineage: Bacteria
Description: partial 16S ribosomal RNA
Rfam family: Bacterial small subunit ribosomal RNA
Source: RNAcentral